AACGCACCUUGCACCCUUUGGUAUUCCGAAGGGUAUGCCUGUUUGAGUAUCCAGAAUAACUCAACUCCUUAAUUAAAGGAUGUUUGGAUUUUGAAGGCUUUUGCUGGUAUUCAUUUACCAGCUCCUUUUAAAUGUAUUAGCUGAACUUGCGGUAGAUCGGCGUUUAGUAUGAUAAUUAUCUAUGCUACACACCAAUUUAUUGGAUCAGCUUCUAAUGGUCCAUUAACUUGGACUACUUCACUUGAGAAGUAUACACUAUUCCUUUAGAUCUCAAAUCAGGUAGGAUUACCCGCUGAACUUAA
RNAcentral lists this unclassified non-coding RNA (302 nucleotides) under uncultured fungus. RNAcentral describes it as "sequence contains ITS2". The record is from RNAcentral. Lineage: Eukaryota; Fungi.